UCCAUCGGAAUUUUGUUCGUGGGUGAUUCGCGGGUUUGAUCAGGCCGGGUAUUUUGCAGUUCUGAUCGGGGGAAUUUUUACUGAUCAAAUGUGUCAUCCGUAGCGUAGUCUGACCAGCUUUCUUUAUUUUGGGGGCCGGAGGAGGAAGUCUGUCUUGGUUAGCGUCUGAGCAAGACAGAAGGUAGAAGUUUUUGCUGUAAAUACUACUCCCUCCGUUCGGAAUUACUUGUCGCAGAAAUGGAUGUAUCUAGACGUAUUUUAGUUCUAGAUACAUUCAUUUUCGCGACAAGUAAUUCCGAACGGAGGGAGUACUACCACUCAUCCUCUGGCUAUCUUCUUACUGAUGGUUACAGUAGCUGUUUGUAGUUGGGACGUGCCAAAUGGAAAGUACAUCUUCGGGCAUUACUUGUUGCGCCAACAAAAGUGCUUUUCUUGUGAAAUUUCAUAACAGUCACUAGUACACAUA
This 466-nucleotide long non-coding RNA is filed under the name Triticum aestivum (bread wheat). RNAcentral's name for it is "long non-coding RNA (TAES_LNC012372)". The stretch from base 201 to 315 matches the Rfam family "MIR1120/MIR1122 microRNA precursor family". Lineage: Eukaryota; Viridiplantae; Streptophyta; Magnoliopsida; Poales; Poaceae. The record is from RNAcentral.